This 673-nucleotide ribosomal RNA is filed under the name uncultured Azoarcus sp. RNAcentral's name for it is "bacterial SSU rRNA". It matches the Rfam family "Bacterial small subunit ribosomal RNA", at positions 8 to 676 of the family's 1533-position model. Lineage: Bacteria; Pseudomonadati; Pseudomonadota; Betaproteobacteria; Rhodocyclales; Zoogloeaceae. The record is from RNAcentral.
AGAGUUUGAUCCUGGCUCAGAUUGAACGCUGGCGGCAUGCUUUACACAUGCAAGUCGAACGGCAGCGGGGGCUUCGGCCUGCCGGCGAGUGGCGAACGGGUGAGUAAUGCAUCGGAACGUACCCAGUCGUGGGGGAUAACUACGCGAAAGCGUGGCUAAUACCGCAUACGCCCUGAGGGGGAAAGCGGGGGACCUUCGGGCCUCGCGCGAUUGGAGCGGCUGAUGUCGGAUUAGCUAGUUGGUGGGGUAAAGGCCUACCAAGGCGACGAUCCGUAGCUGGUCUGAGAGGAUGAUCAGCCACACUGGGACUGAGACACGGCCCAGACUCCUACGGGAGGCAGCAGUGGGGAAUUUUGGACAAUGGGCGAAAGCCUGAUCCAGCCAUGCCGCGUGAGUGAAGAAGGCCUUCGGGUUGUAAAGCUCUUUCAGACGGAAAGAAAUCGGGCGAGCCAAUACCUCGCCUGGAUGACGGUACUGUCAGAAGAAGCACCGGCUAACUACGUGCCAGCAGCCGCGGUAAUACGUAGGGUGCGAGCGUUAAUCGGAAUUACUGGGCGUAAAGCGUGCGCAGGCGGUUGUGUAAGACAGGUGUGAAAUCCCCGGGCUUAACCUGNGAACUGCGCUUGUGACUGCACGGCUAGAGUACGGCAGAGGGGGGUGGAAUUCCACGUGU